Molecule: long non-coding RNA, 224 nt
Filed under: Elaeis guineensis (African oil palm)
Lineage: Eukaryota; Viridiplantae; Streptophyta; Magnoliopsida; Arecales; Arecaceae
Description: long non-coding RNA (EGUI_LNC054297)
Source: RNAcentral
CAGUGGUGUGAGUGAUCUUUUAACCUAUAGUGCGUCGGCUAUUCACAAUGAGGCUACUGUAAUAUGACUGCACGUUCAUUUGGUUCCUAGCCAUUCAGAUCCUUACUAUGUAUGUUGGCUUUUGUGGGUUCAGAUUUACUAUUAGGAGUAGGAUGCACUUGGAUAAAAUCUAUCAAUCUUAGUAGAAAAAGAGAAGUCCUAUGCGAUUCAUGAGAUUGAGUUUA